UUUUUUUUUUUUUUGUACAAGUUUUUCCUGUAUUAGCUAUAAGUGGAAGUUCCAUUCGUCAUGAGCUUUUGAGAAGGUAUUUUUAUGUAAUGAGGAGGUUUGUGGUCAAGGGAGCUAUCUCACUAGUAUAAAUGUCCUCCAUAAUCGUAAUUCUUAGUUGGAGUUUUGGAGAGAGAACUGAAUAAAUUAAACGAAUGUGCAGUUUGCAUGUUUUGGGACUUUCAUGCCAUUGUUACUUGAUGAAUAUUUAUUUUCUCUCAGAUGGAAAAUUUUAGGAGAUACUGAUAAGCUUUUAGAAUGUAUUCUUGUUGUGUUGUAAGUAAUUAAAUCCUAUCAAUUUGGAUUGAGGCAUAAUUGAUUGUUUGAAUGAAUGAAGGAUGACCUUUUCUUGUCAAAGCUAAUUAUGUUGCAGCAGUCAGUUUCUUAAUAGGUUUUUGUUUCAUGUAGGAACGGGGUAUCUCACAGCAUGUUUUGCUCUGAUGGUUGGACCACAAGGUCGAGUUGUUGGUGUGGAACAUAUACCAGAGUUGGUUGCGUGGUCAAUCAAGAAUGUUGAAAAGAGUGCAGCAGCUCCUUUAUUAAAAGAAGGUUCCCUCUCUUUGCAUGUUGGUGGUAUGGUUUUAUAGCAUUUUCAUAUAGUUUAUUCAGGAGACGCUUGCCGUAGCAAAGUAGUGUUCAUAGAUGGUUGGCUAAUAUUACUCUCUCCGUUUCACAAAGAAUGACCUAGUUUGACUUGGCACGGAGUUCAAGAAAAUAAAGAAGACUUUUGAAUCAUGUGGUUUUAAAUUAAAGUUAUGUCAAAUGUACAAAAUUGUUCUUUAAUCUUGUGGCCUUAAACAUGUCACGUGGAAAGCUGAAAUUAAAAUGUUACCAAAAAAAGAAAUAGGUCAUUCUUUUUUAAACAAACUAAAAAGGAAAGGAGGUCAUUCUUUUUGAAACGGAGGGAGUAUUUCUUUUUCCAGUCUGACAUGCUCCCACCAUGAGACUUUUCUUGAGGCUGUUGACAAACGAGUGUUUUUGGUAACUUGUGCAUCAUUGCAGAUGGGAGGAAGGGUUGGCCAGAGCACGCACCUUAUGAUGCUAUUCACGUUGGAGCAGCUGCAGCUGAUGUUCCACAGGAUCUCAUUGACCAGUUAAAGCCCGGGGGAAGGAUGGUGAUUCCAGUGGGUACUUUUUUUCAAGACCUCAAGGUUAUAGACAAAAAAAUGGAUGGUUCAAUAAGUGUUCGAAGUGAGACUUCUGUCCGUUAUGUUCCACUGACUAGUCGAGAAGCGCAGAUAAAGGGCACUGACUAGUUGAGAAAGCACAGAUAAAGGGCACAUAAAGCUGGUUGUUUCUGGCGAUGGUAAUCUUGGUCCCCCACUUGUGUGGCAGUCCAGUUUGAUAUUUUGUACAGUUUCACACCUCUUUGCCUGUAAAGAAUGAACGAUCUGAAUGGUUCUGUAUUUAAUUCCAUGCAAAUUAUCUCCUGUAGAACCUACCUCUCUCUUCCUUGUGCUCUCUUGGCUUGUCGGUAAUAUAUUUCUUGUCUAGCAAAAGGAAUCGGUUGGUUACAUGUGUUACUGGAGAUAAUACUGAUAUUGAAUUUAAUUACGAAAGCAACAUUGGAUUGCUAUAUCUAAUAGCAGCAUUGAUGGAUUAGAUCGGUAAACACUAACACACGACCACAGAGAGAGCUUUUCGCCUUUGCUUACCUGCUUAACCGUACACUCCUAUAGUACAGUACCUAUAUAUAUAUAUAGCGUAUCCUGUUACCUGCACCAAGUGUUGACAACAAAGUGAUGCUCCUUCAAGUAGUUAAGUGAUAUAAUGUUGUGAAUAUACACAUGGUAUGCAUCUUUGGAUUAAUGUGAAGGUGGAGAUCCUGAAUCAGAACACCAGUAAAACAAUUUACAAUGCUUUCUAUUUUGCAUAUGAUGUCAUACCAAAUCUCUUGAUCAUAGUGAAGCUUCCUAUCCAUUCUGAAUAAGUUCUAGCAACAUGAAGGUGUAAAAGCUAACGGCAAAUGAGUACCAAAUAGAAUUCAAAAUCUUACAGCAUUCAAUCCUCUACUUCAGAGUUUCCAAAGGGCAAGAGCGGAAGAAAAAACACAAAAAAAAAGUUGCUGUGCCCUAUAUAAGUAAUCAACGAAUAAAAACUUACAAGUAGAGAGCUAAAUUAAAGACGUUUGAUGAAAAUCUAACUGCUCAUAGCUGCAGAACUGUCACUGCUAAGCCAAUCGAACAAAUAAAACAUAUGAUCAAAAUCAAAACGUGUUGCGCCUAGGUCUUUCUUCAGCAGCAUUUACCCUAAUCGUCCUCCCAUCCAAAGUCUGAAAUACAACAACGAAGAGAAACUAUUAGCUUCAACAUCAAAUAUCUCGAAAGAAAAUAUAUGCCUAACAUGAAUCUGUCAAUGAGGUCAAUGAUCAACCAAGUAACUAAGUGUUCAACAUCUGUAUUAAGCAGACAAUACAAAGAGAGGUCAUUUCUUCCGUGAACAAGUCACAUCAGGAAUCAUAAUACUUGAAUUAUAAUGAACUUGAUAAUCAUCAUCAUAUAUUUGCAUUUCUUGUCGGAUUAGUUAAUCAUAUCAAAAUUUGAAUAUACCAACCCAGUUGUCGUCACUAUGAAACAGAUCCACAAUCUCUUAUCUAAUGAAUAUGUAACUAAUAUAUAAUAUUACUUUGUCUAGCUUUCAUUGCUAAGACUUUCAUCGCUAAGGUGAUUGGUGUGCUAAGGCAAGCAACUUCUCUUUCCAAAGAAGAAUGCCAAGUAAAGUUCGGCUUUAUCUUGAAGCAAAACCCACCAGGUUAGCUAUUACAAGAAUUAUUAGAAACUAAUAUGAGAUGACAAGAAGUAGCUUAACUAAGCAAGUAGUACUAUAGCAACCAUUUUAUGCUCUUACAUAUGUUCCACUAACAAAUAAACUAGUGUGAUCCCAUAAAUGGGGUUUGGGGAAGAUGGAGGCAUACACAGUUUGCAUAAAUAGUGUGGGAAGUACAAACUAACUAAUGUGGGUUUGCGUUACUGAUACCAAAAAUGACAACCAAACACUCGACACUAAUGCAAAAUCGGUACAGUACUACAGUUUAUUUCAAGUGAUGCAAUAAACAAAUGAUACCGGAGUGUACUAAUCUCAUUUGUUAGACUCUUACACAUCUUAAUUUUCUUCUUCUUUUUUGUUUUCUUUUUGCUGGGGGUGGGAUAAUAGUGAAUCUAGACAUCGUUGGUACUUCAAGAUGACACCGGCAACCAAUUUUAACUUGGCCUCUAGCCACAGAAUACGAUAUCUAUAAGAUACCAAUUUACAAACACAGGUUUUAUAAACUAUAUUCCCAUAUUUGAAAAGUUGCAUGUAUAGCUUGUCUACUCCUGCACAACGCCAAUUAUAUAAAAUAAGUGCAGAAAGACUGCAUGCCAUUACAAAUAAAUUAAAGAGUUAGAAAUCUAUAAAGCGUAAAAUUUGGUUCCAUCACCAGUAUAGAAGCACAUGUUGGUAAUUCUCUUGCUCUCUUAUAAGAUUCAGAAUAUAGGGAUAUCAGAAUCAGGAUAGAUAUCUAGUAAAUUAGAGAGGAUCCUGAUGUUAGUUAAACAUCUAGAUCGCAGGCACUUUGCAAUUUAUCAUAGAAAACUAAUCAAAAUUCUUAAGAAAAAAGUUGAUCUAUCAUUAAAAAUCUAGAAAAGAGAUCUAACUUUUUUCUUUUUUCAUAGUAAUGGUUAGAAGGUGUCGAAGCAUUUAGAAUCAAACUCAUGGAUGGACUAAAGGACUCAUGCAAUGAUCAAUUCCUAUCAUGCAUGUGUGUGAGUGUCAUAAUGUGUGUGCACAUCACCUGUCCAUCAAGGUUGGCUAUUGCUUCACUCAUCUCAGCUUCACUUGACAUCGUCACAAAACCAAAGCCUCGUGAUCUUCCAGACUCUCUGUCAUAAACCACCCGGGCACUUAUUACUUUACCAUGUUCACUGAAGACUUGCUCAAGGCGUGCAUCAUCAAUGUCCCAUGGGAUGUUGCCAACAUAGAUUCUGUAAGUAGGCUGAAAUGUUCGAGGUGGACGUUCUGGCUGUGAUCCUCUUCGAGCAGCUUUGUUGACCGUCAAGAGCCUUCCAUUGAUAUCCUAGCCAAAUAAAAUAGAUAAUUAGGAAGAGUUUCAGUAAUAUGCCAACGUAUCCACAUGUCACAUCAUAACUAAGAAAUAUCAGAAUUGUGUGACAGGCCUUUUCUAAAGGGACAGCUCAAGGGCAUAGCACAUGGAAAACAUCAGAUUCUAUUAUUCACAUUCACUCUUAAGUGACCAGCACAUUCAGUCAAACACACAUACAAAAUAGUUAGUUGGUAAAAGGACAAACCAGCCUUUCCCUCUCUACUUCCUCUCUUGCUCAUGCUCAUCCAUGGAGGGGUGAUAAUAGUGCAGAAGACACUCCUACUCUCUUGCUUCAGAGCUACUAUGGAAGCCCUUUACCUUCUCCCAAGUUUCCAGAGGGAACAGCCUCUUGAUUGGGACAAGUUAUUAAUAAAUCAACUAUGCCUACCCAACUUAGUUGGUGCAACAAUAUGAAUCGUUUUUUUCAAACUGUAUGAAUCUUCUAUAAUCAUUACUAGGGAUAGAUUGCCAAUCAAGAGUGAAUAUUCUCUACACAUGCUAUCAACAUAAGAAGCAAACCAGGAGAGUGGAAGGAAGCAUUUCAGCCAACAAGCUCAGCUUCCUUCCUUCAGUAGUGAGCUCAGAAUGCUUUUACUUCUGUCAUGUAUAAGGUAACUAUCAUAAAGAAAUUUUUUACUUGUGGAGAUAAUGUUAUAAAAUCACAUGCAACAAUUUUUCACAACCUUAAUGGAUGGAUAUCAAAAUCAUCCUUCCUUUCAAAAAACUCACCUUCACCUGCAAAUACUUGUUUCAUGAACCUUUAACUCUAGAUAUUUAAGUUCCAUUGAAAUUUUUUUUUGAUAAAGAAGUUCCAUUGAAAUUUUAUAAGCAAGUUGAUAAAGAAAAAGAGAAUUUCUCACAUUGUACAUGAUAUUAGAGAAUCAAAACAACUUAGAGGCAAAAGGACUCUUGAGCCUCAAUUGAACCUACAAAUAUAGAGUUAACCUACAUUGUUUCUUAGUAGAAAUAAUGUAGCCAAAAAUGGGGAGGGGUUCUGAUUUGCAGCAACAAAAAGAAUAAACGUCUCAUAUCUAAUAGAAAGCAUCUUCAAGUUCAACUUUUGACAGCAAAAUCCAAGAAUUCAACAUAAAAAGAAUAAACCAUAAUGACAAAUUCAUCAAAGAAACAGAACCAUUGUAACUCACAUAACGGUUGUACAGUACUACAGCUUUCUCAGCUUCUUCCACAGUGCUCAUCGUCACAAACCCGAAUCCACGACUCCUAUCAGUCUCCCUAUUGUAAAUGACCUGCAAAACCAAAAUUAAGUACAACGCGAUACCUGAAUCUCUAUUUUUUCACUAUUUUGAAAAAAAAGGUUCAAACUUGUCAUUGAAAUUAGGGCAUUGUUACCUCAGCAAUCUCAACAACACCAGCCUGUUGAAAAAGUUGAGCCAACCCCUCACUAUCUAUAUCAUAGGGUAAAUUCCCAACAAACAAUUUCGCAUCUUCCGGAGGUUCUUCGUACUCCUCCGCCUCGGCCUCAGCCUCAUCACUCUCCCCUGCAUCACCAACACUUGCAAAAUCAAAGCUAAGCGAUUCCCCACCUUGUUCUUUAUCUUCAAGGCCAACACUGCUGUCAUCAUCUUGCUGAGCAGCCACUACAGAAACAAUAGAUGGGAAUUGGGUAGUUGUCUUUUUAAGAGAUAAAAAAGAAGAUGAAGAGGAGAAUGAGGAAGAAAGGGAGAUGGGUUUUAAUGGGGUUGAGAUAAAAGACAUGGAUUUGGUGGUAGUGAAGAAGGGUGGAAGAGUAAGGCAAGAAUUGGUCGCCAUGGAUAAAUUCUUGAUUAAGGGUUUGGUAAGAGAAGACAUUAUCUUUAGGGUAGAGUGAAAGGAAGAAGAUAAGGUGGGAGUAGAGAGAGCAGAGGUUUUGAAGCCGGCGGAUGGUCCUAGUUCCUUUGAGAUUUUCCCCCUCAGGCCCCCAAAUAUGUAGCCAACACUCCUUUCUUUACUACAUUACUACUCUAUUAUCUUAGGAUUUUAAAUAUCACAUUUUUUUUUAUAAAAAAAAUAAUUCAAGAUAGACAUUGUUUUGUAAUUUCAAAUUUCACAAGUUCUUUUGUAAAAUUUGAAAUUUAAAAGCAAUGUUUAAUUUUUUCUAUGACAAGUCAAAAGGGAUAGUAAACACUAUUUCUACCCCUUUCUCUCCUAGUAAUGACCUAUAUGAACUAUGUUUGAAAAGGUAAAAGUUGAAACUAACACAAGAUUAGGGCACUCACAAGAUGUUCCUAUAUCAAAAAUAGAUAUUUCAUGCUAUUUGUCAAUUUUAGCAAAUUAAAAGAGUUGAUAAUUUUUAAUAAUUGGAGACUAUAAUAAUAAUACUUACAUAUAUGAAAAUUUAGAUGCGUUCAACUGUCUAUUAAUCUUAUAUCCUAAUUCUAGAUUUUUAUGCUCCUUUCCCAUGGGAUCAUGAUUAGAGGUGUCAUGACAUGUCUAAUCACUUUUUUCUAAUACUUUUUGGCCCAUAUUUUCCUCUCCUUAUCCCCAUCAUAGCCAACUCUCACAAGUCACACCUCAUUAUGAGGCAUAUGCGUUGCUUCCUCACAUGCUCAAACCAUCUUAGCCUCAAUUCCUUCAUCUUAUCCAUAAUGAAGGCUACAUCCCAUAGUCACAAAUGUCUUUGUUUCUAACUUUAUCUCUAUUGGUAUACUCACACAUCCAUCUCAACAUCAUCAUCUCUUUACCUCUGUGUCAUACAAUAUAUAUAGUUGGUUGAGGAACAACUUUAUAGAACUUACCUUUUAAGUCUAAGUGACACAUUCUUAUCACACGAGACACCAAAUGCAAGCCUCCAUUUCAUCCAUCUUGCUCCAAUGCACUGUGUAAUAUAUAUGAUCAACCACUCCUCCCUUCCUUCUUCUUCCUUCAUUGCUUUCCUUCUUCACUCCUUCUCUCUUUCUUCUUUCAUGUUCAACCAUUAAAGUUGUUUCAAAGCUCAAUUUUAAAAUUCGAUAUGCCGCAAACGUGAAUCAUUUGGAGUGAAUAAUAUAUCAAAAGACUUGAAACAUAUGAGCUCAUAUCUAAAAUUGGGAUUGUUAAAGAAAAUUUUAAGUUGAUCAAGAUUAAAAGACUGCAUUGGCUAUUAAAGUUUCUUCAAAGCUCAUUUAAAAUUUGACGUGCCACAAACGUGAAUUGUUUUGAGUGAAUCAUAUACAAAAAGACUUGAAACAUCGAGAGAAAUUCAUAUCUAAAAUUUGGGACUGUUUAGAAGAGAUUUGAGUUGGUCGGAACUGAUUUUUUUUUUAUAAACAUGUAUGGAUGUCUACACAUCUCUAAUACAUAAUUAUACAUCAUAUACACAGUUAUAUACACUAUUUAUAUAAUAUUGAUACAUUUAUAUACAUACGGCUAAUUUUGUUUAAUUUUUUUUUUAUUGCCUGUACAGUUAGUACGAAGUCUGUUUUCAUGGUCAUAUCAUAUAUGUUCAUGUACAAGAUUAGCGAGUAGUAAUCUUUAUCCACUUUUGAGAAGUAAAUUUUGAGGUUAUAAUCUAAAGUAAACAUUAUUUCAAACUAGAGUUAUAGUUGAAGGUGAGAAGAGCUUAGAUUUAAGUUCUUUCUUACUUUAAGUUCGAGUUCACUUAAAAGGGAUUGAUAACAAUCAAGUGGUUGUUUGGGUAAAGGAAUUAAGGUUAAUCUCUUAGGUUGAAUAGUUGUAUGCAUUUGGCUCUUUUUUAGACCCUUCUUCCUCCUUGCGAUGCGAAGACAAUGUCAGGGAGGGUGAGAGAAGGGGAUCUUAUAGUAGAGUUGAAUUGAAUUGAAUUUAUUCUUACAAUAACUAGGUAGAAACUAGAGGUGUCAGAUGAACAUAACUGCACAAAAGUCUCAGUUUUUUUCCUUCGAAAAAUGAAAUAAAAAGAGAAGGUACAAUAAAGAGAAUACAUAAUCUGAUGUCCACUUCAAAGAGGCUUAAUAGACAACAGCAAUUUCCCUAGCAUCACAAUCACCUUCAAGAUGAAUAAUUAGCAGUCCAUCUUCAGUGUUAUAGUUGAAUUUUGUUUCCUCACCCUUCACUGUACAGGAGCUUGGUUUAGAGCUAGAAUAGGCUCCAAAUCGGCCACAGCCUCGUGUUUUAAUUUGUAUCUUGCAUCCUGAUGGAAGCUGGCUGCAAAGAAGACCCUCUAUAGCUCCACCAGAGUUGUACAUGUCAAUCAAUCCAAUAGGAGCAAAAUGAUGACUAUUAUAAACCUGUACAUGUGACAUUUCAUUUGAUAUUAAAGAGCUUCCCUUAGCAGAGAAUGUUCCAAAACCUCAAAUAUAUUGCAGACAGUUGACAUACCUUCACUGGAGAGAUGGUAAAUACUUCGCAUUCAAGUGUACUUAAUGAGACUUGGAUUUUCCCUUCUUUUGGCAAUCUAGAAAGAGAACCUAACAACACAACGAGAUAAGCUAAAUGGUCAGUUACAGAAUUUUCGCUUUUCAAAACAGAUUAAAUUUUGUAGGGACGCAAAAGCUGUUAUACUUAAGUUAUCAUAAGACUACCUGAGUUAAAUGCAUAGAUGGCACAAUCCCCAGUCCAAUCAUCACCAGCAAUAUCCCCAAUAUAGUCAAUGUCAAGAGGGCUGAUAUGGCCAGUGAUGGUUAGAGGCUUCGAAGUCGAGGCAAGGAUGUUCUCAGAUCCUUCCUUCAGUGGCCAAUUUCCAGCUCCUUGACAAUUAAAAGCACCAAUUACACCGGAUAACUUAUUUAAAUUCCAAAUUUUCAAGAAGCUGCAGCAGGUCAAGGUUAAUAGUGUCAUUAGACAUUGCAGUUUCAAUAUUUCAGCUGUAGGAGCUCCCUCUCUCCGAAGCCACUAAGAAGUCCCUGUGACCUUCUAGUGUGUGCGGGAAACAUCCCUUAGAAAUGAGUACUGAUAAAACUACGGAAAUGCAUCUUACUUUUUCCCAUCCAUGACGGGGUCUAUAAAUAAGCAGUCUCGCGUUGGCCGCCCAGAACAUCUAGCUCUUAGGAUUGAGCCAUCAGGCAAAACUAGCUUCUUAAGUAGUUCAAAAUCAUGGUGAUCCGGCUCAUCACUGAAGAGAUUGUCACAACAUAUCAACUUGCAAUAAGAUCUCUUUUAAAUAGUAAUGCAGAAGUUCUGGUCAUAGAACAGAAUGUUGUACUGCAUAGUGUAAUAGGACCUCUCACCUAACAUACACUGUAGACCCACUUAAUGCUCUUGCAGCACCGUGGAAUUUAGCUGUGAAGUGCUUGCUCUACAUAAACAGAACAGUUAGUUCUUCUAAGCUCAAGCCUUUUGUUUUGUGAUCAAAUGAGUACGCUUUCUAAGCUAAAGUUUUUUUCUAUGAUCAAACACGGAAGCAAUAAGAUCUGAUCAAAGCAACCUAGUCAUCAGCAAUGCUAAAGCAUAAAUUGUUUCCACAUUUUAUAGACAAAAGUUGAAGUCAUUUAGCAGCAUGACUGUACUCAACCAAAGAUAGUAUACGCCAAACCAUCGUCACUUUUCACUCACAUUCUACUGAUGAUACCAUACCUGGAACAUGUCCCAAUCUGGAACCACAAUCUCCCCCAUAAGAAGACUGUUAAAUGCAACAGAAGCAAUAUGUAGUGUUUGACAAGUAGGAUCCCUGGGCAUGAAAUCCUCCGACGCUCUUGCAACUGCACUCCUCUUUGAGCUGACAGUUCACUUCUCAAUCAGAAACUAUUAUCAAUACAAUAACUUCAUCCAUACCUUGCAUAGCAAUUUCAACCGAAGAUUACUCACCUGUAGAAGGAGUCAGAGUUGUGAUUCAUACAGCAAAUUAGGUUGUUUGCUCCAAAGUUUCUCGCAAUAGAUUCCUCAAGAGCUUCUUGGUAUCGCCCAGUAAGUGCAACACGACCCCCAUGUCCAAACCCUAAGGUUUCUAAAAGAGUCUGCACAUCUACUUUUACUCCAUCUACACCACAGCUUGCAAGAUAACUAUGAAGAUCAUUGUAAAAAUCAAAAAUCCUCUGGGGAUCGAUUACACCAACUCCAAAUUUUUCCAAGCUGUCCAUAGCUAUAUCUCGAAGAUUUCCUGUGUUACCAGGUGAUUGAAUUGGAUACUCAAUCUUUGGGUUGUAUUUCCUCAUAGUUUCAGAUGACGGAUGCAGCCCUCCCCAGUAACCAAGCAAAGCAUGCCAGACAUAUACAAAUCUACAUAAAGGAAAGUGCUUCAAAAUUGCAAACUGUAUGAAUUUACAGAGUUUCCCCAGUUUCCAUCAAGAAGAACAAUAAACACUUGCUGGACCCUAGACUCACUUUAAUCCAUAACUUUCUUUUAUGAAAUUUGUGAACUCCUGGAGGUCAUAGCAUGGAAUGUCCUGUUUCAAUGCCCUAAAUUUACCAUUCUCCUUGAUGUCAGUUAAUCUAGAUGCAAACCUGUGACCACAUUGACAAAAAAGGGAGCUUAAAAAUUGAAUAAAUAGCAAUCAUAUUACGACAAAAAAAAACUAUCUGAUAUAUAGGAGAACAUACUGUGAUCCUUCAACAAAUGGUUCUCCUUCCUUUUGGAAAUCGUUAUACGUCUCUUGCCAGCCAUCAUCAAUAAUCAAAAAUCUCGGUGGACAGCCUCCUUCCAUAAACCUGAGUGGAGAAGAGAACGAUGGUAUGUAAAAGAAGGGGCAGACACAGGAAACAACAUCUGAUUCAUUCACAAAUUUGACUUCAAUAUUGUACCUUUCAAGACCUUCUUUAAUCCCCUGUGGAUUGACAUCCAUGUAGAAAGCAUCCCACGUACACCAUCCAAACCAAUCUAAAUGUCCUGGCACCUGAGAAGAAUAGCACGUCAUCCCUGCAAAAGAGCUACUGGCCUAUUGCAACUAUCACAGCAAAUGGUCAUCUAUAACUCCAGUACCUUUUUGUUAUCAAUAUGCUUAAAUGUUCCCAUAUGAUUCUCAAGUAUCCUGCAAAAUAAUAUAAAAUAGAAGAUAUUCUACUAUAGCUUCAAGCUACUAUUGACUUGUAAGAGGCAAUCAUCAGUCUUUCUGAAUAUGACCUACUUGAUAGAAUCCUUUAUCAGCUUAAAUGGGUUGUCUCCUGAAUUCAUGAAAACUACCUCAGACACAUUGGUGGUUUGCACAUUUGCAUCGCCUAAAACAAAAGUAGUUAUUUGAUCAAUAAUUCAUAUUAUAUCACGAGGACAUAUGAAAAAGGUUGGCUCAGUUUACCACUUUCAACGCAUAUCUGAAGCUCAUUUGAACGUGCCCCUUGCAAUGUAGCUCUAAAUGAUCCUUCUAAGACAGGCAAUAGCAAAACAUAGAAGGUUCUGUCAGUAGAUAAAGGCAAAGAAUCUCCGUGGCAGAGUGCACUCUUUUCCUUCACUUCCAAGAGAAGCAUUUGCGUUUCCAUUGGGAUUUCACAGGCUAAUUUCCCUACACGUGGUAUCAUCCACCAAAUUUUAUGUCUGAAGAGACACAAGAACUGGAAUUCCCUGCAAUUUCCACAAAGGAAAAUAUCAGGACCCUACUGACACCUAUGAGACUAGCCAAACAUGAACUUAACCAAUGAGAUAGCACUCUCAAAAGUCAAUAGUGAGAUAUUUAUUAAGCACCAUCCUUAUUUUAAUUGGAGUUUCUCAAUCAAGUAGAAACAUAUUCUAGAUUCAAGACAAAGAUGAACUUUGCACCUGGAAUCAACCAUAAUUCAAAACCUGCCUCGGCUUAAAUUUUCUUCCACUAGAAAAUAGGAAGGGAAUUGGCGUAAACAAAGCAGAGGACUUACUGAAGAACCCCAAGAGAAAAGACGUGUCUAGAGCUGGGUAUGGAUGAAGUUGCACCAAAGAAGAAAGCAGCCGAAGAUUCCACCGGAGAAACUUGGACGUUAAAGGGGACUCCGGUCAACAGAGUCUUACCGUUUACCAACAGCGAACCAUCCUGGAUGCAUGUACUCGCUGCUGCCAUCAUUUUAGUGUGUUCCCUCCAAUGCUCCUCUAUGUUAAUGGAUUGAGUUUCGAGAAUUUUGGCAAAAAAUUAGGAACUAAAAAUAACCUUUUGAUAUUCCGACGGAAAUAUUGCGAAAAUCGAGGCUGGGUUUAUAAGUCAUUGCCGACGAAAAUUUUUAUUAUGUAUAGGACAUAUAUAUGACAUGGCUGACAAAAUUUGUAUGAGGCUCCACUUAUACUUUGCCAAGUGGAUAGUUGAAUUCAAUUUCAGAAAAUAGCCCAAACUAUUCUCUCUCUCUCUUCCCUUAUAAAGUUUUUCCCCUCUCUCUUACUUUUUACUUUUUUUUUCUUUGGUUUCUUUUCCAAUCAUUGUUCUAAAUUUUGCACUACUAUUCUUUAGUAAAUUUUUCAUUCUGCUUCUAACAUUAUGAUAUUAUUUUUCAAUUUUGAUAUUAAUAAUUUAAAUUGCUAAAAAUAGUUAUAUAAAAUUAUUUGUUAAUUUACGAAUUAAGAUAUAAUUAAUUAUAAUUUUUAAUUUUAUUAUAAUAAUUAAUUCUUUUUGAAAGUGUAAAUAAAAUUUAUAAAGUUAAAAAAAAUAAAGGUGCAAAUUAGUAAAACUAAUAUUUUAUUUAUAAUUUCUUAAGAAUUUUGUAAAAAAAAUGUAGACUAUUAAUAUAAAAAAAAGGUAUAAAACUAAUUUGUUCUUUUAUUCUUCUCUCAACAAUUUCAUGUUUCCAAAAGCACUUAAAUCCAUCAAAUACUCUUCAGAAAAUAUAACGAAAAGAGCAUCAAUGAUCUUGACAAACAAUUACAUAAGUUUUGAUACUAUUUUCCUGAAAUUCAAAAAUAAAAAGCAUUCAUAAACACCUACAUAAAUACAUAUCCGUCAAUUUAUAUGAUAUUUUUUAUUCUUAAAAUUCAAGCUAGGUGAAAUUUAAUAAAUAUUUUGUUUGUCUACUUUCCUGACACAUUUCUUAAGAAAUCAUAAAUAAAAAUUAGGGAAAAGGGUCUGAAAUAUAUUCGAACUUUGACCGAAAUUGCAGUAAUGAUACCAAACUUUGGAAAUGACCUUUUACUACACUAUUUAAUAGUGUAUUUUAAAGGUAUACAUAUGUUCACGUGGACAUCAUAGGUAUUGCAUAAUUAUAAAUACACUAUUAAAUAAUGCAGGGCUAUUAAAGGUCCUCCAUAAAGUUUGAUAUCGUAACAGUGAUUUCGGUCAAAGUUGGAGUAUUUUUCAGACUCUUUUCCCUAAAAACUAUAAUUUUGACUACAAAUUUUAUAUAUACUUUUUAAAAAAAUUAAUUAUUAGGAUUAAAAAAAUUACUUAUAUCUUAAUUUUAUAUACCUUCCUAUUUUAUCAUGCAUGAGGUACGCCAAGUCAUACUUGUAUGAGACAUCAUUUGAUUGACAAGUGGAUAUGGCUAGGACCCAUCCGCUAGCUAUCUUUAAGUUCCCCCACCUUUUUUUAUUUUUUUAUUUUUUUAUUUUUUUAUUUUUAUGUCUGCCACGUCAUAUAUAUGCCUCAUACAUAAUAAAAAAUUUCCACAUCAAAAGCUAUUACUAAAACUUUAUUUUUAGUAUCUCUUUUCAAUAAAUAUAUGUACUUUAAUUAUUUAUUUUUCUUAUUUGUUUUCUUUCUUCUCCAUAACAAUAUAAAUCAAAUCUCUCCAUCAUUCACCACCUCUAAAUCGGUGCUACCACCGCCAUUUUUACCGAAUUCAUUAUUGUUGCUUCCAAACAAAUUUUCGAACUCAUAUAGUACUCUUGCAAAAUCAAUCAACCCCAAUAAAUUAUAGAUAAAUUUACAUAUAUUUAUAUCAUUCCUAAAGAUUUUGGAUUAAAUUUGAGAAAAAUUGAUCUGAGUUUCUUUCAAGCGUCAAGGGUACUCUUUCACUAUUUCCACUUAACCUGGGUUUAUUUCAAGAGUCAAGGGUACUCUUCCACUAUUUCCAUCCCUAACCUACCACUGCCAUUAUCAUCGAAUUUUCUCCGACAAAUUAAAGCAAUCAUCAAAUAGGACUAUCAAAACAAAAGUGUUCAAAUUAAACAUGUUUUUCAAGUGUUUAUACUAUUUAAUUAUGAUUGAUUUAUCAAGUAAAACAAAAGUGAAAAAAUUGAAAGAAAAAUCAUUGAAGGAACAAAAUCUGCAACAAGUUGUGAAGUUAGGGAGAAAAGAUUUGAAUCCCCUAUUGAUAGAUUAGCUAGGUAAUGAGUUUAAAAAAAACCCCAGAUAAAGAUCUUAAAUAGAAAGAAUUAGAGGAGGAAAAAAAAUCAUGAGAAUGAUGGAGAUGAUGAAACUAAUGGGAUUGGAAAUCUUGAACAACUGAGAGAUAUUAUAAAUGAAGAUGAUAAAGAUAUGUUAGGGUGUUGAAUUAUUGCUGUUAAAUUAGGGAGGUGAUAAAGAUGGAGGUGGAGGUGGUGAUGAGGAUUUCUCAGAUGAUAAUGGUGAAAAAGAUGGAGGCCCAGCGAAUUAAGUUUGUGAGGAAGAUAAAAAAAAUAGAAGAAGACCCCCAAUGUAUUCCCUAAUAUUUUCCCAAAUCAAGCUUUCACAAAAAAUAAAUAAAUUAGGGCUACAAAAAGAUUGAAGAAGAAAGGAUGAAGAAGAAGGAGAGAAAACUUUUUUAAAAAAAAUUAAUUGGUGAAACACACGUGUCAAGUGCAUGUAAUCACCACAAGGCAGAUGGCCAGUUAUCACGUUUUAAGGGGUUAUUUAUUCCAUUUUAAAGUAGUUUGGGGGGUAAUGUAUAAGUAUGUAGUUGAAAAAUCUAAAUAUAGAUUGGGGGGAGGGGGGUAUUUGACCAUUUUUCUCCGAAUCACUUUCAAAGUCACAUAAUCUAUAACAAUCAAGUAUUCACAAUCACUCUCCAGAAACAACAACACCCACAUCAGUUUCUUUGAAAAAAUGAGUCAAUCAACUCAAAAUCCAAUUUCAAAAAUAGGGUUUGAAUCCGAAAAUCAACACUUGAAAAUGUUACUUAAGGCUUUAGGAACUCAUUCGUGAGAACCAGUUUGAAAAAGGAUUUAAAAUCACUUCAAAAUCCCCAUUUUAGAUUAAAACUCAAGUUCUUGCGAAAUCUUGCCAUUUUCCAAAUCAAAGUCCCAAAUUAUGAUGUUAGAAUCCAUAGAUAGUCAAAGGGAAAUGAGAUUUUAGGGUUACAAGAGCUUUCCAAUGAUUUAGCACAAAAAAAACUCUUCAAAAAUCGCCUCCAAGGAUUUCCCAAGCUCAAAAAUGAAAAAUGAAGCUUAAACAUCAAAAUUGUAGAUCAAACCCCCCCCCCUCUGAUGUUGCAAAAGCGAAGUCCCCUUAGCUUUCGCAACGCUCGCUUAAGCGAAGAGGCUCUCGCUUCUGCGAAGGUCGCUAAAGCGAUUGACCUUCGCAAAAGCGAGGCCUGCAGACACCACCAAACAUAUCCAAGUCUAAAAACAUUGACAAGACCCUUGGGAUUCGUUCGGAAUCCCGUAAUAUCAAUUAUACUCGACAUUCCGGACUCAAUGGAACCUUCAAAACACAACAAGAAACAACACAACGCCUAAAAUCAUCCUCCAAAUCCAACAGAACCUCCGGAAUUCCAAUCCAAGCAUCCGAACCUCGAAUGACAUCAAAAACCACUUUUUAAGCAACUUUGCCUUUCACACUCAAAACUUGCCAAAAUAUAAACUUUUUACUCAAGGCUUGAAACCAACUUUCAAAACUCAAUCAAGAAUAACUCUGGGUCAAAAGUCGGGAGGGACAAAACGGUAAAUUUCAUGAAAAUUCUAAAAAUGACCUAAUGGGUCAUUACAUUUUGAGUAUCCAAGUUGAUCAAAUUUAUGAACUCCGGGAGGUCAAAGCAUGGAGUGUCUUGUUUCAAGCUCCUAAAUUUGCCGUCUUUAAUUAAUCUAGAUACAAAUCUGUGACCAUGUUGACAAAAAGAGUGGUUAAAAAUUGACAAAACAACAACGAUAUUACGAUAAACAACUAUCUGAUAUACAGGAGAAUAUACUGUGAUCCUUCAACAAACAGUGUGUUAAUGAAUAUAAUGAAGUGGGAAAUGUUGUGGGCAAGAAAUUAGGAACUAGAAUACUAGAAAAUCAGCCAUUUCAGAAGAAGAAUACCAAAAAAUAUUUGUACCUUUCAAGACCUUCUUUAUUCCCCUGUGGAUUGACAUUCUUGUAGAAUGCAUCCGAUGUACACCAUCCAAACCACUCUAAAUGUGCUGCCACCUGAGAAGAAUAGCACAUCAGCCUUGCAAAAGAGCUGUUGGCCUGUCGCAACUGUAUCACAGAAAAUGCUCAUAUCAUAUAUAACUCCAGUAAGUACGUACAGGUUGGUACAGUUUAGUGUGUUCUCUCCACUGCAUUAGCGUAUGUAAAUGGAUAUAAUGAAGUGGGUUUCGACAAUGGAAUUUUGGGAAUUGCUGUAGGCAAAGACAUUAGGAACAGAGGAAGAAGAAUACUGGAGUACAAAAUAAGCCAUUUCAGAAGAAGAAAAACAGAAAACAAAAACUUUUUGAUAUUCAUACGACGGAAAGAUUACGAAAAUCGAGGCUAUAUUUAUAAGUCAUUACCGACGCAGUCCGACGUAAAGCCGUCGAUAAACUUAAAUAUAUAUUGGGAGCAAACCCUCAUUUCUCAACUCUCUCUUCCUUGCCUCACUCUUUUUCUCUACUCUUUCCUUGCCGAUUCACCUCUUACGACAGCAAAAGUAAGCCGUCCAGUCGCGCCACCGUUCACGGCGGCACCACCGUGCAGUUGAGAUAAGUGUAUUUUUUCCUUGUUCUACCGUUUUUCUUUCACUUUUAAGGUUUACUAUUUGUAUGAGAUUUUGAAUAGAUCAUAUCACCAUUUUCUUAAAAGGUCCGUGUAGAAUUUAGCUUGGAUUUAGUUUUCUUCUUCUUUCUGUGUUUUGCUCAUAUGAAAAUAUUAAUUUGAAUCCUUAGAGUCUCUGCUUUGACUAAUUAACUUCUGAACUUUGUUUAUUGAAGUAAGUAAUGAUUUUGAAACUUCCUUCAUUUCAUCUAACACAAAAGAUAGAACCAUCUAUGUAUACUUUUUCGGGUAAUUGGGCAGAAGAUGUUUGGAAGGGUAGCUGAGUGCAUGUUCAAAAUUCCCGGCUUAUUUCUAAUAAAAUGUAUCUAUGAAGAAUUUAUCCUUCAGUCAUUACUUGUAGACUAAAUCAACAAGAUUAUGAAGAUACAUCCAUGCCACACAAGAAUGGAGAUUCAGUCGAUGAACACAAAACAAGCAAGAAAUAAUUACUCGAUGAAAAUGAAACUAGCAAUAUAAAAAAUUUAAUGAUCAAAGAAAAGCAAGGGAGAAAUUAAUAUGUUAGUCUUUUUAAUGUUCUUUAGUUAUCAUAUAAUAGAUUGUAGAAGUAACAACUUUAUUAGUAUUCUUAAAUUAUUAUUAUUAUUAUUUUACCAUGCUUGUAUUAUACAGAUGGCAUCCCAGGAAAAUGAUCGUCCACAAAGUACUAAUACAGUGAAAGAUAAAUCUAAGGGAAAGAAAAAAGUUUCGGAGACUACAGGUUACACUACCUCUCCACUGGCAGGUCACUACUAC
This 17501-nucleotide long non-coding RNA is filed under the name Solanum tuberosum (potato). RNAcentral describes it as "long non-coding RNA (STUB_LNC004072)". The record is from RNAcentral. Lineage: Eukaryota; Viridiplantae; Streptophyta; Magnoliopsida; Solanales; Solanaceae.